This 340-nucleotide ribosomal RNA is filed under the name uncultured bacterium. RNAcentral's name for it is "bacterial SSU rRNA". It matches the Rfam family "Bacterial small subunit ribosomal RNA", at positions 455 to 793 of the family's 1533-position model. The record is from RNAcentral.
AAUAGCAUACUCAUUUGACGUUAGCUGCAGAGAAAGCACCGGCUAACUCCGUGCCAGCAGCCGCGGUAAUACGGAGGUGCGAGCGUUAAUCGGAAUUACUGGGCGUAAAGCGCAUGCAGGUGGUUUGUUAAGUCAGAUGUGAAAGCCCGGGGCUCAACCUCGGAAUUGCAUUUGAAACUGGCAAACUAGAGUACUGUAGAGGGGGGUAGGAAUUUCAGGUGUAGCGGUGAAAUGCGUAGAGAUCUGAAGGAAUACCGGUGGCGAAGGCGGCCCCCUCGGACAGAUACUGACACUCAGAUGCGAAAGCGUGGGGAGCAAACAGGAUUAGAUACCCUGGUAG